GCUUUUACGGGAAGCAGAGAAACUUGUUAAUUCCAAGAUCCAUCCAAUGACUAUUAUUGCAGGUUACAGAAUGGCUUCUGAAUGUGCACGAAAUGCCUUGUUGCAGAAAGCCAUGGAUAACAAAGAAGAUCCUGAAAAGUUUAAGUCUGAUCUCAUGAAGAUUGCGAUGACAACUUUGAGUUCAAAAAUUCUUUCCCAAGAUAAAGAGCAUUUUGCUAAACUUGCGGUGGAUGCUGUGAUGCGACUUAAGGGUAGCACAAACCUGGAAUCUAUCCAAAUUAUCAAGAAAGCU
Molecule: unclassified non-coding RNA, 292 nt
Filed under: Hevea brasiliensis (rubber tree)
Lineage: Eukaryota; Viridiplantae; Streptophyta; Magnoliopsida; Malpighiales; Euphorbiaceae
Source: RNAcentral